AUUGAACACUGGCGGCAUGCUUAACACAUGCAAGUCGAACGGCAGCAUAGUCUAGCUUGCUAGAUGGGUGGCGAGUGGCGAACGGGUGAGUAACGCGUAGGAAUAUGCCUUAAAGUGGGGGACAACUUGGGGAAACUCAAGCUAAUACCGCAUAAUCUCUGAGGAGAGAAGCUGGGGACCGCAAGGCCUGGCGCUUUAAG
Molecule: ribosomal RNA, 200 nt
Filed under: uncultured bacterium
Lineage: Bacteria
Description: partial 16S ribosomal RNA
Rfam family: Bacterial small subunit ribosomal RNA
Source: RNAcentral